RNAcentral lists this ribosomal RNA (292 nucleotides) under uncultured bacterium. RNAcentral describes it as "partial 16S ribosomal RNA". It matches the Rfam family "Bacterial small subunit ribosomal RNA", at positions 505 to 796 of the family's 1533-position model. The record is from RNAcentral.
GUGCCAGCCGCCGCGGUAAUACGGAAGGGGCUAGCGUUGUUCGGAUUUACUGGGCGUAAAGCGCAUGUAGGCGGCGGAUCAAGUGAGGCGUGAAAGGCCUGGGCUCAACCUGGGAACGGCGCUUCAGACUGGUUUGCUCGAGUUCGGGAGAGGGUGGUGGAAUUCCCAGUGUAGAGGUGAAAUUCGUAGAUAUUGGGAGGAACACCGGUGGCGAAGGCGGCCACCUGGCCCGAGACUGACGCUCAAGUGCGAAAGCGUGGGGAGCAAACAGGAUUAGAAACCCCUGUAGUCC